AGUGAACGCUGGCGGCAGGCCUAAUACAUGCAAGUCGAACGGCAGCACAGCAGAGCUUGCUCUGUGGGUGGCGAGUGGCGGACGGGUGAGGAAUACAUGGGAAUCUGCCCAGUCGUGGGGGAUAACGUAGGGAAACUUACGCUAAUACCGCAUGCGCCCUUCGGGGGAAAGCCGGGGACCUUCGGGCCUGGCGCGAUUGGAUGAGCCCAUGUCGGAUUAGCUAGUUGGUGGGGUAAAGGCCCACCAAGGCGACGAUCCGUAGCUGGUCUGAGAGGAUGAUCAGCCACACUGGAACUGAGACACGGUCCAGACUCCUACGGGAGGCAGCAGUAGGGAAUAUUGGACAAUGGGCGCAAGCCUGAUCCAGCCAUGCCGCGUGUGUGAAGAAGGCCUUCGGGUUGUAAAGCACUUUUAUCCGGAAAGAAAAGCGCUGGGUUAAUACCCUGGUGUCCUGACGGUACCGGAAGAAUAAGCACCGGCUAACUUCGUGC
Molecule: ribosomal RNA, 491 nt
Filed under: uncultured bacterium
Lineage: Bacteria
Description: bacterial SSU rRNA
Rfam family: Bacterial small subunit ribosomal RNA
Source: RNAcentral